RNAcentral lists this ribosomal RNA (485 nucleotides) under uncultured marine bacterium. RNAcentral's name for it is "bacterial SSU rRNA". It matches the Rfam family "Bacterial small subunit ribosomal RNA", at positions 355 to 856 of the family's 1533-position model. The record is from RNAcentral.
UGGGGAAUAUUGCGCAAUGGAGGAAAGUCUGACGCAGCAACGCCGCGUGGGUGAUGAAGGCCUUAGGGUGGUAAAGCCCUGUUGGGAGGGAAGAAAUUUGACGGUACCUCCAAAGAAAGCCCCGGCUAACUCCGUGCCAGCAGCCGCGGUAAUACGGAGGGGGCAAACGUUGUUUGGAAUCAUUGGGCGUAAAGCGCGCGUAGGCGGCUAUGUAGGUCGGGUGUGAAAGCCCAGGGCUCAACCCUGGAACUGCGCUCGAAACCACAUAGCUUGAGUCCCGGAGGGAGAAGUGGAAUUCCAGGUGUAGGGGUGAAAUCCGUAGAUAUCUGGAGGAACACCAGCGGGGAAGGCGUCUUCUUGGCCGAGGACUGACGCUGAGGUGCGAAAGUGUGGGGAGCAAACAGGAUUAGAUACCCUGGUAGUCCACACCGUAAACGAUGUUCACUAGGUGAUGGGGCAUUGACCGCGUCAGUGCGCUAGCUAAC